CCUACGGGAGGCAGCAGUGGGGAAUAUUGGACAAUGGGCGAAAGCCUGAUCCAGCAAUGCUGCGUGAGUGAUGAAGGCCUUCGGGUCGUAAAGCUCUUUUACCAGGGAUGAUAAUGACAGUACCUGGAGAAUAAGCUCCGGCUAACUCCGUGCCAGCAGCCGCGGUAAUACGGAGGGAGCUAGCGUUGUUCGGAAUUACUGGGCGUAAAGAGUACGUAGGCGGUUAUUCAAGUCAGAGGUGAAAGCCCGGGGCUCAACCCCGGAACUGCCUUUGAAACUAGAUAACUAGAGUCUUGGAGAGGUUAGUGGAAUUCCGAGUGUAGAGGUGAAAUUCGUAGAUAUUCGGAAGAACACCAGUGGCGAAGGCGACUAACUGGACAAGUACUGACGCUGAGGUACGAAAGCGUGGGGAGCAAACAGGAUUAGAUACCCUGGUAGUCCACGCCGUAAACGAUGAUAACUAGUUGUUCGGUCACUUGGUGACUGAGUGACGCAGCUAACGCAUUAAGUUAUCCGCCGUGGGGAGUACGGUCGCAAGAUUAAACUCAAAUGAAUUGACGG
RNAcentral lists this ribosomal RNA (561 nucleotides) under uncultured bacterium. RNAcentral describes it as "bacterial SSU rRNA". It matches the Rfam family "Bacterial small subunit ribosomal RNA", at positions 338 to 916 of the family's 1533-position model. The record is from RNAcentral.